AGCCUGGCCUGGAUUGCUACCUGCGGAGAAAUGCAUCCCAUCAUUAUUUCCAAAUGUAAUUCUUUCUUAGAACUAAGCCGGAGAUGGGUUUUCUCCGAAGAGGCCUUGGGGGAGCUCAUUAGACAUUGCCUGGACUUAUCAGCAGUGGGAGAGAAUCAGACUCUUCUUCACUUUCGAUUGCCCCCUCCCCACGUUAAACAUUCCAGGAAAACCCACAUUUUUUGAGAAAAAGUGAGAAGAUAAUGGCGAACGGAGAGCUCGUCAUGAGAUGAAACCUCAGCGGUGGAAAAAAAGAACUAUGGCCUGGAUGGACAGACCACGUGG
Pogona vitticeps (central bearded dragon) is the source of this 324-nucleotide non-coding RNA. The record is from RefSeq and is a predicted model, not a curated record. Lineage: Eukaryota; Metazoa; Chordata; Lepidosauria; Squamata; Agamidae.